RNAcentral lists this ribosomal RNA (114 nucleotides) under Guopingia tenuis. Lineage: Bacteria; Bacillati; Bacillota; Clostridia; Christensenellales; Christensenellaceae. The record is from RNAcentral.
CGGUGGCGAUAGCUAAGAGGUACACCUGUUCCCAUCCCGAACACAGAAGUUAAGCUCUUAUACGCCGAAAGUACUUGGCUGGUGACGGCCCGGGAGGAUAGGUAGCUGCCGGUA